GGACCACGAGCAUGAUGGGAAUAGACGAACACCAGGUCGUUUUUUUCACGGAGGUCUUGUUCAAUAUAAAGAUAUAUCACAUCAGACACAAAGAGAUGGAGGAGAGUGCAGCAGGAAGAAAAAUGCCGUUCCAGUUCAGCAGUCAAGCCUCUCAGCGCCUCGCCGCUCCGGCUUCUCAAAUUGACAAUUUUUACCAACUGUUAUCCAGAAAGAUGAGAGAGCUUCCUUUAUACACACGCCUGAAGAGAUGGCUCUUUGGACAAGUAAACAGGUGCACUGGGAAAAUAUCUGCCGACCUGACUUCCCUCAUAUCUUCAAAAGUCGCCACAUAAAGUGACAUUACUGCUAGGUAAGUUGUCAGUACUGUUAUUUAGAUUAUUUAUUGCAUGAAUGGGUAAUAAUUAAUCAAACUGGAUGAAGUACUUG
Molecule: long non-coding RNA, 426 nt
Organism: Fundulus heteroclitus (mummichog)
Lineage: Eukaryota; Metazoa; Chordata; Actinopteri; Cyprinodontiformes; Fundulidae
Exons: 3
Source: RefSeq, a predicted model, not a curated record